UUAUUUGACCAAGCUCAUCUUUGCGCGCUUCAAAACACGGAUGAAUUCAGAAGCUAUUUUGUUGAACACCUACAAUACUUGAAGAGGGAGUUUCCAAGAUUCAAAAAGAAUAAAAAGUGGCUUACAGACAAGCAAAACAAGACAUUUGCAGAUUGGUUGAAGGAGAGGGUUGCUGUUCAACUAAGUGAACCAGAUUCUCACGUUCCCGAGAUUGUCAGAUGGCUUUC
Molecule: long non-coding RNA, 227 nt
Organism: Rosa chinensis
Lineage: Eukaryota; Viridiplantae; Streptophyta; Magnoliopsida; Rosales; Rosaceae
Exons: 3
Source: RefSeq, a predicted model, not a curated record